GAAAACGAGAUGCUACGGCGUCGAAGCAGUCUAUGUCAUACUUCCAAGAAAAGCUUGCACUGUCAUAAACAAAUAAUGCCUGUACCAUAACCGACACAGGUGGGUAGGUAGAGUAUACUAAGGGGCGCGAGAUAACUCUCUCUAAGGAACUCGGCAAAAUGACUCCGUAACUUCGGGAGAAGGAGUGCCUUAUUUAUAAGGUUGCAAUAACAAGAUCCAAGCAACUGUUUACCAAAAACACAGGUCUCCGCUAAGUCGUAAGACGAUGUAUGGGGGCUGACGCCUGCCCAGUGCCAGAAGGUUAAAGAAGUUGGUUAGCAUCCGCGAAGCUGAUAACUGAAGCCCUGGUGAACGGCGGCCGUAACAAUAACGGUCCUAAGGUAGCGAAAUUCCUUGUCGGGUAAGUUCCGACCCGCACGAAAGGCGUAAUGAUUUGGAUACUGUCUCGGAGAGGGGCUCGGUGAAAUAGACUUGUCUGUGAAGAUGCGGACUACCUGCACCAGGACAGAAAGACCCUAUGAAGCUUUACUGUAACCUGAAAUUGAAAUUGGACUUUACUUGCGCAGUAUAGGUGGGAGGCGUUGAGAAUAUUCUUGCGGGAUUAUUGGAGCCAUCAGUGAGAUACCACUCUUGUAAUGUUAGAUUUCUAACUUUGUAUCAUUAUCUGGUCAAAGAACAGUUUCAGGCGGGCAGUUUGACUGGGGCGGUCGCCUCCUAAACGGUAACGGAGGCGCACAAAGGUUUCCUCUGAACGGGUAGAAAUCGUAUCUAGAGUGUAAAGGCAUAAGGAAGCUUGACUGUGAGACCUACAAGUCGAGCAGGGACGAAAGUCGGUCUUAGUGAUCUGACGGUGCUGAGUGGAAAGGCCGUCACUCAACGGAUAAAAGUUACUCUAAGGAUAACAGGCUGAUCUCCCCCAAGAGUUCACAUCGACGGGGAGGUUUGGCACCUCGAUGUCGGCUCAUCGCAUCCUGGGGCGGUAGUACGUCCCAAGGGUUGGGCUGUUCGCCCAUGAAAGCGGUACGCGAGCUGGGUUCAGAACGUCGUGAGACAGUUCGGUCCAUAUCCGGUGUAGGCGUUAGAAUAUUGAGAGGAGCCUUCUUUAGUACGAGAGGACCGAGAAGGACAUACCUCUGGUGUACCAGUUAUCGUGCCAACGGUAAACGCUGGGUAGCUAUGUGUGGAGUGGAUAACCGCUGAAAGCAUCUAAGUGGGAAGCCCACCUCAAGAUAAGUA
Molecule: ribosomal RNA, 1236 nt
Filed under: metagenome
Description: bacterial LSU rRNA
Rfam family: Bacterial large subunit ribosomal RNA
Source: RNAcentral